UACAGAGGGUGCGAGCGUUGUCCGGAAUUACUGGGCGUAAAGCGCACGUAGGCGGCUCCAAAAGUCGGAUGUGAAAUCCCUGGGCUCAACCGAGGAAGUGCAUCCGAAACUGCGGAGCUUGAGUAUGGAAGAGGGUCGCGGAAUUCCCGGUGUAGAGGUGAAAUUCGUAGAUAUCGGGAGGAACACCAGUGGCGAAGGCGGCGACCUGGGCCAAUACUGACGCUGAGGUGCGAAAGCGUGGGGAGCAAACAGG
RNAcentral lists this ribosomal RNA (253 nucleotides) under uncultured bacterium. RNAcentral's name for it is "partial 16S ribosomal RNA". It matches the Rfam family "Bacterial small subunit ribosomal RNA", at positions 524 to 776 of the family's 1533-position model. The record is from RNAcentral.